This 1565-nucleotide ribosomal RNA is filed under the name uncultured bacterium. Its description in RNAcentral is "partial 16S ribosomal RNA". It matches the Rfam family "Bacterial small subunit ribosomal RNA". The record is from RNAcentral.
GAGUUUGAUCAUGGCUCAGGACGAACGCUGGCGGCGUGCUUAACACAUGCAAGUCGAGCGCGAACUAGAGGUUGGAAGUUAGAGGUUAGAAGUUAGAAGAGGUAGGAAUUGGCCCGCGGCCAAUUCCAUCGACCAGUUCUAAUUUCUAAUUUCCAACUUCCAACCUCUAGGGAGAGCGGCGGACGGGUGAGUAACGCGUGGGUAACCUGCCCGUAAAUCUGGGAUAACAGCGGGAAACCGUUGCUAAUACCGGAUACACCCAUAGGCUCCCAAGGGCUUAUGGGGAAAGGCCCUUAUGGGUCGUUUACGGAUGGGCCCGCGUCCCAUUAGCUAGUUGGUAGGGUAACGGCCUGCCAAGGCGACGAUGGGUAGCCGGCCUGAGAGGGUGGUCGGCCACACUGGAACUGAGACACGGUCCAGACUCCUACGGGAGGCAGCAGUGGGGAAUAUUGCGCAAUGGGGGAAACCCUGACGCAGCGACGCCGCGUGAAGGAAGAAGGCCUUCGGGUUGUAAACUUCUUUGAUCGGGGACGAAAAUGACGGUACCCGAGGAACAAGCCACGGCUAACUACGUGCCAGCAGCCGCGGUAAGACGUAGGGGGCAAGCGUUACCCGGAAUUACUGGGCGUAAAGGGGGCGUAGGCGGUAAAAGAAGUCAUCUGUGAAAACCUAUUGCUCAACGAUAGGCUAGCGGAUGAAACUGAAUUACUUGAGGGCACCAGAGGUAGACGGAAUUACCCGAGUAGGGGUGAAAUCCGCAGAUACGGGUAGGAACGCCGGUGGAGAAGUCGGUCUACUGGGGUGCACCAGACGCUGAGGCCCGAAAGCUAGGGGAGCAAACCGGAUUAGAUACCCGGGUAGUCCUAGCCGUAAACGAUGCUCACUAGGUGUAGGGAGUGAUAAACUCUCUGUGCUGAAGCGAACGCGCUAAGUGAGCCGCCUGGGGAGUACGUCCGCAAGGAUGAAACUCAAAGGAAUUGACGGGGGUCCGCACAAGCGGUGGAGCAUGUGGUUUAAUUCGAUGGUAACCGAAGAACCUUACCAGGGAUUGACAUGUAACUGAAGGUAGAGAAAUCUACUGGCCUGCUGCAAAGCGGGAGGUUACACAGGUGGUGCACGGCCGUCGUCAGCUCGUGCCGUGAGGUGUUGGGUUAAGUCCCGCAACGAGCGCAACCCCUACGAUUAGUUACUAACGCGGAAAGGCGAGGACUCUAAUCGGACUGCCGCCGACGAGGCGGAGGAAGGAGGGGAUGACGUCAGGUAAGCGUGCCCCUUAUACUCUGGGCGACACACGUGCUACAAUGGAGGGGACAAAGGGAAGCGAAGCCGAGAGGUGGAGCGGAUCCUAAAAAAACUCUCCGAAAUACGGAUUGUAGGCUGCAACCCGCCUACAUGAAGUCGGAAUCGCUAGUAAUCGCAGGUCAGCCAAACUGCGGUGAAUACGUUCCCGGGCCUUGUACACACCGCCCGUCACGCCACCCGAGUUGGGAACACCUGAAGGCAGUACGGGAGGUACUGUUGAAGGUGGGCUUGGCGAGGGGGGCGAAGUCGUAACAAGGUAGCCG